UACAGAGGUCCCGAGCGUUGUUCGGAUUCAUUGGGCGUAAAGGGUGCGUAGGCGGCGCGGUGAGUCGGGUGUGAAAUCUCGGAGCUUAACUCCGAAACUGCAUUCGAUACUGCCGUGCUUGAGGACUGGAGAGGAGACUGGAAUUUACGGUGUAGCGGUGAAAUGCGUAGAUAUCGUAAGGAAGACCAGUGGCGAAGGCGGGUCUCUGGACAGUUCCUGACGCUGAGGCACGAAGGCCAGGGGAGCAAACGGG
Molecule: ribosomal RNA, 253 nt
Filed under: uncultured bacterium
Lineage: Bacteria
Description: partial 16S ribosomal RNA
Rfam family: Bacterial small subunit ribosomal RNA
Source: RNAcentral